GACAGAGGGUGCAAACGUUGUUCGGAAUUACUGGGCGUAAAGCGCGUGUAGGCGGCUAAGUAAGUCGGGCGUGAAAUCCCACGGCUCAACCGUGGAAGUGCACUCGAAACUGCAUAGCUAGAGUCCCGGAGAGGAAGGUGGAAUGCUUGGUGUAGAGGUGAAAUUCGUAGAUAUCAAGCGGAACACCGGUGGCGAAGGCGGCCUUCUGGACAGUGACUGACGCUGAGACGCGAAAGCGUGGGGAGCAAACAGG
Molecule: ribosomal RNA, 253 nt
Filed under: uncultured bacterium
Lineage: Bacteria
Description: partial 16S ribosomal RNA
Rfam family: Bacterial small subunit ribosomal RNA
Source: RNAcentral